UCAAGCUACUAAGGGCACACGGUGGAUGCCUUGGCGCCGGGAGCCGAAGAAGGACGUGGCCAGCUGCGAUAAGCCUCGGUGAGCUGCAAGCAAGCGUUAUUAACCGGGGAUGUCCGAAUGGGGAAACCCGCCGCGAGUAAUGUUGCGGCACCCAUGCCUGAACACAUAGGGCAUGAGGGGGGAACCGGGGGAACUGAAACAUCUAAGUACCCCGAGGAAAAGAGACAGACAUGCAUUCCGUAAGUAGUGGCGAGCGAAAGCGGAGGAGCCCAAACCGCAUGCGUGCUAAAGCCUGCAGGCGUUGCGCAUGCGGGGUUGCAGGAGUUGCCGUGGAACGCUGCAGAGUUCCGUCCCACCUGUAGGAUCUAGUCGAACUGACUGGAAAGUCGGGCCGAAGAGGGUGAGAGCCCCGUAGACGAAAGGUUCGGCAGGGGGAUGGCAGCCACCUGAGUACCGCGGGACACGAGGAAUCCUGCGGGAAACUGGGAGGACCACCUCCCAAGGCUAAAUACUCCCCGGCGACCGAUAGUGAACUAGUACCGUGAGGGAAAGGUGAAAAGCACCCCGGGAGGGGAGUGAAAUAGUACCUGAAACCGUGAUGCCUACAAACAGUGGGAGGGCUAUGGCGUAGUCCAGCCUGACCGCGUACUUUUUGUAGAACGGACCGGCGAGUUACGGUAUGUGGCAAGGUUAAGCCGAAGAGGCGGAGCCGAAGCGAAAGCGAGUCUUAAUAGGGCGUAUAAGUCGCAUGCCGUAGACCCGAAACCGGGCGAGCUAUCCAUGGCCAGGGUGAAGCGGGAGUAAAGUCCCGUGGAGGCCCGAACCCGGUGGUGUUGAAAAACCAUGGGAUGAGCUGUGGAUAGGGGUGAAAAGCCAAUCGAGCUCGGAGAUAGCUGGUUCUCCCCGAAAUAGCUUUAGGGCUAGCCUCGGGAAUAUAGUCUUGCGGAGGUAGAGCACUGAUGGGGCUAGGGGCCCUGAAAGGUUACCGAACCCUUUCAAACUCCGAAUGCCGCAAGAUGUUGCCCGGGAGUCAGACUGCGGGGGCUAAGCUUCGCAGUCGAGAGGGAAAGAGCCCAGACCGCCAGCUAAGGUCCCAAAUUGGCAGCUAAGUGGCAAAGGAUGUGGAACUGCUUAGACAACCAGGAUGUUGGCUUAGAAGCAGCCAUACAUUUAAAGAGUGCGUAAUAGCUCACUGGUCGAGUGGGUCUGCGCCGAAAAUGUCCGGGGCUGAAGCUGCCAACCGAAGCUGCGGAUCACCCGUAGGGUGAUGGUAGGGGAGCGUUGCCUGCUGGCAGAAGCACGACCGAAAGGACGUGUGGACGGCAGGGAAGUGAGAAUGCCGGUAUGAGUAGCGAAAAGGCAGGUGAGAAUCCUGCCCGCCGAAAGCCUAAGGUUUCCUGAGGAAGGUUCGUCCUCUCAGGGUGAGCCGGGACCUAAGCCGAGGCCGAAAGGCGUAGGCGAUGGACAACGGGUUGAGAUUCCCGUGCCGCCUCGGUCACGAUUGAGCGAAGUGGGGACGCAGAAGGGUAGGCGCAGCAGGCUGAUGGAAUAGCCUGUCCAAGCGAGUAGGGUGCCGCGCAGGCAAAUCCGCGCGGCGGGAGCCUGAGACGCGCGUGGGUGCGGAUACGUCCGCUGAACUGGCCGACCCCAAGCUGCCAAGAAAAGCCGCUAGCGAGUGACCGGGCGCCCGUACCGCAAACCGACACAGGUAGGCGGGGAGAGAAUCCUAAGGCGCGCGAGAGAACCCUCGUUAAGGAACUCGGCAAACUGACCCCGUAACCUAGGGAGAAGGGGUGCCCCGGUAGGGUGAAGGGCGAGACGCCCGGAGCCUGAGGGGGCCGCAGAGAAACGGCCCGAGCGACUGUUUACCAAAAACACAGGUCUCUGCUAAGUCGAAAGACGAAGUAUAGGGGCUGACGCCUGCCCAGUGCCGGAAGGUUAAGGGGAGGGCUUAGCGCAAGCGAAGGUCCGAACCGAAGCCCCGGUGAACGGCGGCCGUAACUAUAACGGUCCUAAGGUAGCGAAAUUCCUUGUCGGGUAAGUUCCGACC
Molecule: ribosomal RNA, 2050 nt
Filed under: anaerobic digester metagenome
Description: bacterial LSU rRNA
Rfam family: Bacterial large subunit ribosomal RNA
Source: RNAcentral